GACGAACGCUGGCGGCGUGCCUAAUACAUGCAAGUAGAACAGUUGCGAACGGGUGAGUAACGCGUAGGUAACUGCCUCAUAGCAGGGGAUAACUAUUGGAAACGAUAGCUAAUACCGCAUACCGUAAGAUGGACCUGCGUUGUAUUAGCUAGUUGGUGAGGUCAAGGCCCACCAAGGCGACGAUACAUAGCCGACCUGAGAGGGUGAUCCGCCACACUGUGACUGGGGCACGGCCCCGACUCCUGAUGGAGGCAGCAGGAGGGAAUCUUCCGGAAUGGACGGAAGUCUGGACGCGCCACGCCUGCUGGGUGAAGAAGGGUUUCGGAUCGUAAAGCCCCGUUGUUAGAGAAGCGGUAACUAACCAGAAAGGGACGGCUAACUACGUGCCAGCAGCCGCGGUAAUUC
Molecule: ribosomal RNA, 405 nt
Filed under: uncultured bacterium
Lineage: Bacteria
Description: partial 16S ribosomal RNA
Rfam family: Bacterial small subunit ribosomal RNA
Source: RNAcentral